AGAAUCAACGCUGGCGGCGUGCCUCAGACAUGCAAGUCGAACGCGAAAGUCCCCUUCGGGGGACAAGUAGAGUGGCGCACGGGUGAGUAACACGUAGGUAAUCUACCUUUGGAUGGGGAAUAACCACCGGAAACGGUGGCUAAUACCGCAUAAUGCAGCGGCACCUAAUGGUGACAGUUGUUAAAGCGGGGGAUCGAAAGACCUCGCGUCUAAAGAGGAGCCUGCGGCGGAUUAGCUAGUUGGUAAGGUAAUGGCUUACCAAGGCUACGAUCC
RNAcentral lists this ribosomal RNA (273 nucleotides) under uncultured soil bacterium. RNAcentral's name for it is "partial 16S ribosomal RNA". It matches the Rfam family "Bacterial small subunit ribosomal RNA", at positions 26 to 282 of the family's 1533-position model. The record is from RNAcentral.